GUGCAAUACUAAAAAACGAAAAGUCACUUUAAUUGCGUCUCUUCCUCUUAUUUGUUCCAAUACGGCAAUACAUUGUUUCACUCCUCUUGCUCUUCCAUUGAAACGCUUUCAGCGGCUUCUUUCUCUUCUUUACUUACUUCAAUAAUAUGAAGAUCGAAAAUGCUGGUUGUUCAAACGUCACCCGCAUUAUGGAAUCUCAGUGACUUCUUAAAACAAAACAAAGUGAUUGCUCAGCCUUGGAAGAUCAUCACUGUUUGGGACGACAUUAUCUGUUAUUACAUUCACUCUUCAACCAAGGAUAGUUGCUCAGGAGUUUCAAUAUCUUCUGUGGAAUUUCCUAGCUAAUAAUUUACUUGCUGAAAAUAAUUUCUAUGUUGCCAUUUUCUCUAUCUUUUCAUCAUUCUUUUUAUCUUGAGAACCUUAUAGUUAUUUAAGAGUAUGAAUAUGUUGUUCCCAAAUCUUGUAUGCUGGUGGAGGAAGAUAUAGGAUAAGUGUACUUUUGAAUAGGGGAGUGAGAGCUUUAUUCAUAAAUUUGUGAUUAAAAUUUGAUCGCCAAGCAAAAACCUUUAUGGUAACCUUUUGUAUCAAUGAGAUUAUUGUUUC
Nicotiana tabacum (common tobacco) is the source of this 603-nucleotide non-coding RNA. NCBI's taxonomy places the organism in Eukaryota, Viridiplantae, Streptophyta, Magnoliopsida, Solanales, Solanaceae. The record is from RefSeq and is a predicted model, not a curated record.